GUCACAGACAGUUUUUGCUGUGUGGGUUUUUUGGUUUUUUGUUUGUUUGUUUUUGUUUUUUUAAGUGUGCUUAUUGCAAAGGAAUGCUUAGAAAAGUCAACGCUUUAGGUUUCUGCUGGAUGCAUGCUCUGUUCUAGAAAAAAAAAUAAAACAAAUCCCUUCGAAAUGAUGGAAAGGAAGGCUUUAGUAAUGCAUGAAUGAUUAUGACUCUCGUAUUUUUACCAAUCACAAGAGGAAAUGGAUUUAAACAGCCACGUAAUCUGGUCUGCCUCCCCAUGAACGAGGUACCCUGCUAAACACCACACAAUCCGCCUUCUCUGACCACAGUGAUGUAGUUGACAACAGCGUACAACAGGUCUGUUUUCUCACCCUCUUAUCCCACCCAGAUAACAUCUGGUUGGACAGCCUAUUAGCUAUUGAUGCAAGAAUGCUUGUUCUCAGAGCCACCAGGACAUGAGCGGGAGCCUUCCUGGAAGCCUCAUCAAGAGCACAUCUCUGACUUGGAGAAAGAGCUUCCGUAAACACUGCCCCAACGGGAUGGUGUCUGGGGUUGUAGCUAAAGCUCCAGACCUCAGGUACUACUGACCCUGGCUUCUUUUUCUACCUGUGGUCACUGUCCUUCUUGGGCAGGCACGUUUACCUCUGUGUGGGCUGCCUCUCCCCGCCUCUUCCCAUGAGUGUUCAAAGAGAGUUAUACUCCUGCAAGCUUUCUGUGUAACAAGAACUUCGUAGAGCAACUCAAAGGUCAUGGGGCAGCAUUCUGACUACUGCAUGCCUUAGAGGGCUGGCCAUUACAUGCACAGAAACUAUGUCCGAUUACUCCUCGGUGCCUUGCAGAUCUGUGCUGGCUACCACUUGUCCGGGGCCUUAAACAAGUAGUUGCAUGUACCCAAGCUCAGAGCGGAGGAUAAACGGCCCACAAACCAGUCUUGUCACCUUUGGGGGGCCUGUUUAUGAAACUGGACUGGUCAGUUGCAGACUAGGGGUAAUUACGGCAGCUACAAUUCUUAUCACAGAAGCUGUAUUAAAUGUUGGCCUGGGGCACAUGUUCAUGUACUAACCAUUUUUUCUAAAAAAAGAAAGGAAAUCUUUGUAGAAAUGACUUAGAGGUCAGAGCCCAUCUCCAACGUUUUAUUGAGUGAAACAGUGAAUCCCUCUGCGUCGUUUCUAGCAGCUGACUUUCUAGGCUGAACCUGCUGUUCCUCUGGACACACUCUGAUGAGUCUGGAUUCCUUUCUACUGUCUCUUCUAGAGUGGAGCCCAUGUUUCAGCUUUCUCACAACUGUGCUUUUUUUUUUUGAGACACAGAAACUCUUUUACAACACAGUUAGAAAAAACAUUGCUUCCCCUAGAAACAGUCGCCCUCUCCCCUGAAGAGGAAUUCCCUGGUGUUUUAAAUACUUAAUAAUCAACUUUAUUAAAGGAACAAGAGCUUUGGUUCAAUAAUUUUGCAGCAAAAAAAAAAAAUUACUCUGAUCUAAUCCCUUUCAGCGCUUCAAAAGAAAUUUUUGGUCAAACAUUGGGGAAAUUAGCAGCCCUUAUAAUAUGACUGUUAAAAAACAACAGAACGGCAAGUUGAAAGGAGUCAAUAUAAAAUGAACUCAUAACCUACGUGCAAGUUGAGAGUGCUAUCACAUGGGAUCAUUAAGAGUUUUAUCUCUUAUCCAGGACUGGGUCAAGGAAAGGGGCCUGCGGCAGAGUUCAGUCAAAGAUGUUUUUACAGAGCUCUUUUCCAAGGAGUAAUCCCUGAGCUACACAGUAAUCUAGAUACUUGCAAUCAAUUAAAAUGAAUGAUUGAUUCAAUGAGACGUUCCUUUGUGGUUUUAAAUACAAAACAUUCUAAAAGUGGGAAUGUAGAGAGGAAAUGUUUGCAAAUUGCACAGACUCCCUGGAGGAUCCCCUGGGCUUUACUGGGAGCCGUUCCUGGGGAAGGAUGUUGCCCUGGGAGGUAACAAAGUGAAGCUCCGUUAUUCAAGAAUGAAAAGCAGUCUCAAAGGCUCGCAGUCGUCAAGUGGGUGACGUGUACAUAUGAAGAUGCCCUUUCAGGCUACUUUUCUGUUUUCCUACUUUGAUAGUCAUGGAUACAGAGAAAUAUUUUCUUCACCAGGAGAAAGAGCAGGGCUAAGAGAGAUGAUUAAAUAGAGAGUGACUGCAUUGCAGAAUAAUGUGGGCACAAGUCGGGCAAGGAGGCGGUUGAGACCUGAGAAAUAUAAGAUAUUAUAAGAUAAUAAUUAAUCGGCUCCAGCCAGUUGCUGCUCUGUGUCCACAAGAGCAAAAUAGGACCAUGUUUUGAGGAGAAUUUAAUUCUACAAAGUUUUAAGGGACCUUCUCAAGUUUUCAGUUUUGGUACAGUUCACAAAACAGGACAAUGUGGCCAAGCAAAGUACAUCAACUGAUUCAGUCAACCCUACUAAUAUUCAAAACCCUUGCUUGCGUAUCAGUGCUACUGCCUGAGAAAUGCCCCACUAUUUCCAAACCUCCAUCAGGCUUUUGCUGGUGUUACCUGACUCACUCGAGGGUAAUCCUAAACUAAACAGAGCUUACUCCGUGGGGAAUAAGCUGCUAAACACCACGUUCUUGGCUGUUAAAGGAGCAGCAAAUGGGAAGGUUCUCCUCUCCAUCUUCUGAAUGUGGUCAUAUUGGAUCAUUGCUGUUCUGUCUGUAUCAAACAUGAACAUCAGAGUAAGAAAUCAAAGCUCACACUGCCUUAUAAGAAACUUACAUUCAAAGGCCUUGGGGGUCUGUGCAGAUGGAAAUGAAGUUGAAUAAAAAUCAUCAUUGCAUUUAGUUCUGGAAGAUUCUAGAGAAUACACCAUAACGGUUAGAGCCACCAAAGUCACAUUUUAUUUUGUUUCUUAAAAUUUUAUUUGUUUGUGUGUGUGUUUACUGUGGUGCUAGUAAACAAAGCUAGUUUACCGAGCACUCUACCUACCACUAAGCUAUGUUCCCAGACUAACCUGGAGAGAUCUGCAACAGAUUUUCAUAUUUGAAACACUAGUGUUUGUGAGCGGAGGCAUUAACGCUUCAUAAGCCACAUUCUUGUCCUGAGCUGAAAUCCAGGCUUCCCAAACAUCCCUGGUCUGUGUUAGCAAUUCCAGAAGCUCCAGGGAGAAGCUGGGAGGAAGCCCAAUGGCUACAUUUGUACUCAAGUACCUUUUUUUUUUUCUUUUCUUUUCUUGAACAAGAAGAAUACGCCUGUGCCAGCAUAUCACACAAUAAAACAAGGAUUUGGCACCGAUCUCUAUUGAUUUGGUCAGGAUAAGCAGCCAAACUAGCUAUUUCAUGCCAGAAAUAUGAGUUGGUUUGGCUGGCUCGGCCUGAUUUAAUGCACAGGGUAAUAAUUAAAUGCCAUGUCUGGUUAUACUGAGUGAACAUAGCCGAAUUUUUUUCAAGGAUUGGUGCUUUCUUGUGUUUUCACUCUAAGUGUGCAUUUUCCUGCAAUCCCUCACCACACGGGAAAACUUCACUGUCAAGCCCAGCUUUUUGGAAGGAAGGGAAAAGCGGUUGGCAGACAGUCUCUUCGGAGUGGAGCAUACUGCAAGUGAAAGAGGUGAUAGAGGAACGUUGGGCACAGUUAUGAAAAACGGCAGUUUGAAGCCUACGUUGGGGGCAUAGCGGAGGUUAGAUCACAACAUCGAUGAAAUUCAUCUUGGGACUGCCAUUCAUUCAUUCACUUGCAGCUGUAGUCUGUGUCAGACACCGUGCUAGACAUCGGAGGUACCUGAAUACAAAGGAAAAGUCCCCAAGUAGAUGUACAUUGGGUAGGAAGAGAGAGGCACCCCAAAUUCCUCACCGCAUACAGUCACAACAUACGUGAGCAAAUUCCUGUUCCAAGUUCACUGCUUCUCUGUAUGCCCCAAAAGAAAGGCAGUUUGGUUUUGGUGGGUUUUUUGUUUUUGUUUUUGUUUUAACUUCUUGGUAAUUUUAUGUAUGUAUACAACGUAUUUAGAUCAUAUCCACCCUCACCUUCCUCUUGGUUCAUAUUUUAUUUUAUUUUAUUUUUUUCUGAGAUAGGGUUUCUUUAUGUAACAGCUGUGACUGUCCUGGAACUCACUCUGUAGGCCAGGUUGGCCUCGAACUCACAGAGAUCCACCUGCCUCUGCCUCCUGAGUGCUGGGAUUAAAGGCAUGCACCACCACUGCUGGGCUGGCUCACUUUUUAGAACUUGAUUCCAAACCAGAUUUUCUACAGCUGUGGCAUCUCCCACCUGAUGUCAACUACUCCAGAAUUUAGACCAGCAUAGAUGUCAUCCGCAUUUCCCCAUAAACAUUUCUUCAAGUUAACAUUGUUUUUACACAGCUUCAAAUCACUGCUAGCAAUGGAAACCUCCUGUCCAUUGCCUUGGGACAUGAAUUAUUGUGUUACAACACUCUGAAGUGACACCACUGCCUGACAUAGACUCCGAGGGCCCAAGACCCUCACUAUCAUGUUUUAAGAAGGAAAAGAGAAAUAAUUAGCAAAUGUCUAUAAGAUGUUAAGUAUACCUUAGCCCUGGGGGCUUUCUCUUUCCUCUAACCCAAAGAGCAGAAAGGUAAUUGUUCACUUUCUAUGUGAUUUCAUACAAAUGAGGAAAGUUUCUCUUCCUCCAGAACCCUAUAUUUACCCCUGGUUGGGAAAUACUGGUGGUGUUCACCCAUGCCUACAGUUUCUUUUCCAAAUGACUGUCCAGAUUCUGCCCAGACAUUUCCAGGAACAGGAGAUCCUUGGAACUCAUUUGCCCUUGUAAAACUAAGGGUUCUUUUUGUACCCAAAACAAAAAAAAAAAAAUUGAAAGAACCAGGAAAACAGAAUACCUACUUGCCUGUAAUUCCCUCUCCACAUGACAGGCUCUCUUGUGAUCAAAUAUUACUUAGACAUUUUCCUUUCAAAUACACACACCAGUGAGUGAAUCCUGUGGGAGGGGAGAGCUGACAACAUUCGAAGCCGACAAGCUCGAAUCGCCAGCAAAGGAUUCUUCUGACUGAGAACAGAGUGAAAAUGAAAGCAGUAAAUGAACCUCAGAGUGGGGCACUUCAGCUUCAGGAAAAUAAAAGUCACAACGAAAGCAAACUAAGGUUUUGUCAUUUAACACAAGUGAUCAAAACAAGAGCGUGAGCUCGACAACUCGUAGUUCUCGGGCUUUCGAAACAUAUGUUAAGUGCUUGCAAAAAUGGGAGCAGGGGUCAGCUGAGGGAAAUUUAAUAUUUUGAACUAUUAGUUGCCAAGCGUCUAACGUGCAUCUAAGGCCAAUUUGAACACUCUGGGCACUGACGGACAAGAACUCGAGGCAGGCUACUCAUGUCUAUUAGUUAGAAUAAAAGGCAGCUCUCUGGAGAGAGGAGUGUCUGUAGGCUUCGCUCUCGUUUUUUUCAGUAACAUGAUGGAAUGUGUGCUGUAGGCUAGGUGGGAGGGUUCAGUCUGGCCCCUGGAUGAGAACUCGUAGUAGCUGUUGACAGUAAGAACGGCAAGCACUGUCCUCUCCUUGCACACAUGAAAACUCAGCGGUAAGGACAGAGAACUUGAGUGGGUGGGCCUGUCAUUAAGUCUGCUGCUUCCACAAGCCUCCUUUGUCUACGAUCCUUGCAGUACCACUUUCCUAUUAAAGUAAAUUAAAGAACCCGUGAAGUUAAUCCAGAAACAGCGUGGAGCCAAAGAGAAUUCCUCCCUCACCACUGGGGGCCAUUGGUUUCUGCCCUGCAGCGUGAGAUUCCAUUUCCUUGAUCACAGCUGCAUCAUUUUAAAUAUUAUCGUUGGUUAUGUAACUUCCCAGUCUUUCCUGAAAGAUUCAGCCAUGUAGCGCACCGUCGAUUUCACUGGGAACUGAACGCCGCUUCUAGGAGCAGAGCUUUAGGUCACCAAGCUUUGGGCAAACUCAUCACCUACCUUAACAUCCAAACCCAACUUACAGAGACCUGGAAGGAGUCGGCCAUAAAGGUGCCUCAUUUGAAGCCUGCGGGCUGUUCCUAUGUCGUCUACUGUUGUUCACAAAUGUGUAAAAGAAGGCUGAGCAACGCCUACCUGAAAAAGGAAUUCCUAGGAUAUAGUGAGAGAAGCCUGCCCAAGGGGCAAGUCAACCUCCUGACUUUUUACAUCAGGUAUAAAGGAAAUAAGAGCAAUGUUUAUGCCCGUGAGUUUGGGUAGAGGUAAGGUAUAGACAAAGCCAUUGAAAUCUGGUUGUCACAGAAAUGGUUAUUUUUCCGAAAUGACUGCUUCACUCAAUAAGCAGUUACUGAAGCUUCAUAUAUGCCAACUAUUAUGUUACCAGGGUCUAAGGAUUCUUAAAUGAAGAAGACAAGGUCCCUGUCAUCCAAGAGUUCUUAGUCUGGUUUGUGGAGAUUAAUCCACAGUUGGGGUACGGAGGGUAGCAGUGACAGGUAGAAUAACCCUAGUGGGGGACGUUGUGGAAGAGCCAUAGUGCUACCAUCUCUCUCUUUCCUCACCAGCAUUCAGAUUUCCACAUGAGCAAAUAAUCCUGAGCAGGGAAAAGGUCUUGUUUGGUUGGUUACCUGAGUCAUUCACUAUUAAAUGCAACGUGAGCUGGAGGUGGGGCCCCGUGAGUCCUGAAAAACAGGAGUUUGGAGUCCCAGCAAAAGUCACUGUGGGAAAUGUGGCCUCACAGAAAGUCCGGGAGAGGGGUGGGUGCCUGAUGAGGUUUCAGUGACAGAAACUGUCCCUUUCAUAGGGGAGGUAGGAGAUGGGAGCCCUUGAGCUAAAAAGGAAGUAGAGGCAAUGUUGUAUUGUCUGGCUCAGAGAGGCACUCCCCGCCCCCAAACCCAGCACCUCAGAAGGUGCUAUCCAGCUACACCAGGUCCCUAGCUGCAGCUGCUUUCUUCAAGUGCGGCCUGCUGGCCCUAAUUAUGCCAUGUGGAGAGUAGGGAGAUCAGGGUUCACUUGGUGUCUCUUGGGUAUCUGAACCCCCGAAAGGUGUCCCGGUGCUUCUAAUGGGCCUGCUCCUCAAGUCAUCCACCAUCCGGACCACCGCCCACACCCAGGCAUGUACCCAGGACUGACCCUGCCCCAGUUGCCAGGUGACAGGGUGGGACAGUGAUGUGGCCCAGCUACAAAAGAACAGUCAGUCCCACAGAACUGGAUGCUGGGGAGAGAUUUUUGUGAUGAAAGUGAGACAAUUCUUCGUUUGAAAGCCUCGAGGUCACAGGCUCAAGGCUCAGGGUGGGAUGCUGUGUUAGUUCGAAAUUCUCACCUGUGAACUUCAGUAACUUCAAGUUAGCCGGUGGUUCAGGUCAUUUCGGGUUUAGAAAACACUGUCGAAAAUGUCAAAGCCUCCUGUUUUCCGCUAAGGAAAACCAGAUGUUUCUCACCUUCGUUAUCUAUGUGGUGGUCUCCUCGAGACCUGCAAUCCACACAGGUCUCUGGGUGUCUUGGGAAAAAUAGAAGACCUUGUGCUCUUGAUACCGUAACAGUAAGAUCAGGAUGAAUCCUGUCAUGGAGGUCUGUGCUUGAGGACAGCAGGUGGCCAAAGGGGGCAGGACGAUCCUAAAAUGAGACAUCAUAGUGUCAGUGCGGAUUCUCUAACAGGAACACCAUUAGAGUGAAUAUGCAUUAAAACAAAUGUAUUAGGUUGGCUUAUACAACAGGGUCCAAGUAGUCCAACAACGGCUAUCUCAUACUUGAAAGGCCAAGAACCCAGCAGUUGGUCAGUACAUAAAUUUGAGUGUUUCAGUAGUCCCGAUCUGGAACAUUCCUGGAGAACCAGUGGUCUUCAGUCCAUUUGAAAGCAUGAUGAAGCUGAUUCUGAUACUAGCAAAGGAAUCAGAAGUGUCAGGAAUAGAGUGGAUGGACUGGACCACAAGAAUGAAGGCCAAGCAAGCAAAAAGCAAAUGACUCUUCUUCUGUGUCCUUUUAUCUGGGCAGCCACCAAGCGGCCACCCACAUUUAGGGCAGGUCUUCCUCUAUCAGUUAUGGCAAUCAAGACAAUCCCCCACAUGCACGUCCACAAGUCAAACUGUUGUACACAGUCCUUGAUCGGGGCUCUCUUACCAGAUGACUCUAGGUUAUACCAAGUUGUUGAUUUAAAGUAACUAUCAGAACUGCUUUAGGCCCUCCUAAUGACCAGAGCUUGUGAUCUGAGAAUUACUGUCCCAUUCAGAUUCAUCAGACCAUUUGGAGGUAGCACUUGGGCCCCAAAUCUCUCUUCCCAUAAGAGUUCUUCAAUUAACUGGUUCAAAAAGGAGCCUGGAAAUGGCUGUUUUCUUAAUAGUUCUCAAGGUGGUUCUACUGUGGACUCAGGGUUGAGAACUACCGUGUUACAGUUUCUCUAGGAUUGUCCUCUGGUUUCCAGUGCUAGGGUCCCCAGGGUUGCCCUUUAGUUACAAACAACUCUAAUUAAUUCAGCUGCUCCCUCUUCCAGGAAGCCUCUUCCUGGCUUUCCCCUACCUCUGCUCUAGCAGAGUUCCUAGUUCCUAAAGGCAUGGGUUUGUUUCUUUUUCACGGUUACUACAACACCAUCUGUCUCCACACAGAGGCCUCGGGAGAGUGCUGUGUCUUUGCCUCAUCUAUCCUUUGCAUUGCCUAAAGAAAGUUCUUGGCAAGGCAAGCAAGACCUUUGACAGACUUCACGAGCCGCUGUGCCAGCUUUGUGGCCCGCAGCUUCCCUGACAGUUUCCUCUUUCGAUGUUUUAGCCCUCAGCACUCCAUCCUUCCUCCUUGUGUGUUUUGUCUCUUGGCACAACUUCUUCCACAGCCCUACUGAGGCUCUUGGACUUCUCCAAGAUCCAGCUUAGCCUUCAGACCAUGCAUGAAGUUGUUCUUGCUUGCUUGUAGCUUUGGAGCCUGUCCUGGAACUUGAUCUGUAGACCAGGCUGGCUUCGAACUCACAGAGAUCCUCCUGUCUCUGCUUCCCAAGUGCUGGGAUUAAAGGCGUGCGUCACCACCGCCUGGCUUGAACACUUUGAUUUAAGGGUGUGCUAAGAGCUGGUCUGUCGUUAUCUUAAAGCUAACUUUCUCAAACUAUAUUGCAGAAAUUUCCAAAAUUGAAAUAUAAGGAUCAAUAUAAAAAACAAAUCCUUAGUAGCAGCAUUCCUACACCACACACUGAGUAUUUAUGAAAAAUGGAAGCAUCAGCCACUUCUAUAUUAUAUUUAUAACUUGGCUUCUUUUCACUUGAGACUAGAAUUUGAGCCAUGUCUUGGGACCAAAUACUUGACUUAUCAUAUUCAUCAUAUUCAUUCCUUUGACUUGGACCCCCAGAAGCCAGACUUUAAUGUAGUAAUACCUAAGCAAAAUAAAAUUUCAUAACAUUGUUGUGAAAACAAUUAAAAAUGUUUAUAUAUUAAGUUCUAUAUGAAGAAGUAUUUACCAUGGGAACAUGUAACUCCUAUGAGGUACAGUAACAAAGCUGUAUUUCCAUGAAUGUAAAGCUAUUAAAUCUAAGUAUAUUGAAAAUUUCAAAUUUUCCAACAUCAUUUAUGUGUAUUGCUUCGGAGCUGUCAAGUCCGUUUCUGUUAGUAUUCAAAAAAAUUAGAAGGAUAGAAGGGGUGAAGAAAAUCUUAUGGUGAAAAAAAAAAAACUCUUUAAGCUUGAGACAAUUUGAUCUAUUACCUUGAAUCCAUUAUUUUUCUCCUGAAAUGAGCACAGGGCAUCAUUAUUUUAUUUUACCAGAAAGCAUUUGCUUGUAGCUUAUAGACCACAGGUGUUCUGUAGGGACAUGUCUUGCAGUCACUAUAUAAUUUACCAUUAAACAAACAUUCGAACUUCAGCGAAUGAGAUCAACUUCUUGGGAAGUGCUGUGUCCAUCCAGUGAGAACUUCUGAAACAGAUGUGAUUGCAUCAAGGUGUGUCAUACCUUCUAUUAUUAGAACAUACUUUGUGGCCAGAGUUGUCACCUCUGUGGCUUGGCCCUAUUCAUUAAAUGACAGAAACUUACUUCACAGUUGAAAAACAGAUUACUUCAUUUCUAUGAGUUCUCUAAAAUUAUUGCUUGUUAUUGGUAGACUUAGAUUUAUUUUGAUUGCACAUAUUUUAAUAGGUUUUUUGAGAAUGAUUCACAUGCAUACAAUUUAUUUAUACAUACAAGUGAAAGUCUACAAUGCAAUGGCCUUUACCAUAUUCAUAAACUUGCAUAGUCAUAAUCACAAUCAAUUUUAGAAGAAUUUUCAUCACGUCAGAAAGAAACCAUAUUAUUUGGCCAUCAUCUCCAAAUCCCUCCAUUCGUCUCAGUGCUAGACACACAGUCAAUGUUCAAUUCUUCACGCAUCUCCGUAUCACACAACAUUCUAGACAUCUCAUGGAAAGAGAACACUCUGCAGUACAUGUUCCUUUGUGACUCAUUCUUUCACGGUAGCAUGUUUUCAAGGUUCAUUUGAAGUUUUUCCGCACAUCAAAAUUUUGUUCCUUUUUAUAGCUGAUUGAUAUUCCAUUGACUUUUUUCACAUUUGUCUUUCAAUUCAUGAGUGGACAUUUGAAUUGUCCUCAUUUUUAUUUUGUGUUAUUUUGCUUCUAACUAUUAUAAAGAAGGAUGCUAUUAAUAUUUAUAGGCAUAUCUUUUCAUUUCUCUUGUAUGUACAAUUAGAAUUACUGGGCUUUAUAGUAGUUUUCUUUUGCCUUUAAAAAAUUCAGUGUAUUUUUUUUUUAAUGGCUGCACUAUUUUAUCCACCAACAGUAGGAAAGUUCUGUGUUUGCCACUUUAUUGCCAAUCCUUGCUAGGAACUGUCAUUUUGUUGACAUAUAUUUUUGUCAAAGCCAGUACAAAACACUACCUCCUUGUGAUUUAAUUUGGAUUUUUCAGAUGGUGAUAUUGAAUAUCUUUUCAUGUGCUAUUGUCCAUUAACUUGGAGGGAUGGCUCUUCAGAUACUUUCUGUUUAGUACUGAAUUAUAAUUGCUCUUUCUGUGCUAAAAUUAUACUUUAAAAAAACCCUUCAUACACAAAAUAAUGACAGCAGUUGCUAUGUGCAUAAUUUGUCAUAAGACGAUCAUGAUUAUUCUUGAGAAGGAUCCUUUAGUUAGUGCUGUAUGUAAGCACUCACAAAUACUGAAGGCAAAACAUAAUGCAAAGAAGAAAACACUAGCAAAAGCUGGUAGUUCUAAACUAAUAAGCACUUUUGAAAUAAAAUGUAUCCCUUCCUUUAGAAAGUAACUACUGAUGGCUUUGUCUAAUAUGGCGAUAUGUGAUUUAAACGACAUUUUGUUCCUCUAACGCACAGGGAGACUCUUGCUGUCAUGUAUGUUGUGUUUUAGCUAAAACCUAGACACCUGUGAGACAGUGGUCUUGGUGCAUGUACACUUGGCUGAACUCCUUUGAAGUAUAGAUUCUGAAUUUGUCAAUUGCAUAUUUUUAUGCAAUAGAAUUGAAUACAGUAUGCAUUAACGUCUUUAGUUACAUUUAAUAAAAAUGAAGUUAAUUAGAAAAUGAUGCACAUAACAGCAGUUUGAACGCAUUUAUUUACCUCUACUGAGCUAUGUGCUUUAAAAAGGUUGAGGUGGACAAUUGUGUUAUAUGACUUUAUACAAUUAAAACUUAAAAGCCCCAACCCCAGACAACUGUGGACAACUAAGGAAUGCUGAGAAAAGGAAAAACAGCCUUUCCCAGGGAAAAGGCCCCUGUUUCAUAAACACAUUUUUCAUACAAAUAUAUUGCAUUCUCUAACCAUACCUCCCCACCCUUCCCUUACUCUCUCCUAGCUACUUACAUUGAUCCCCACAGUCUUGCUUUACCCCCAUGUCAUAUGUAUACAUACGCACAUCUGUGUGGGCCUUUUAGAUCUUCAUUGGAAGGAUGUCUGUUCAGAUUUAUUAUCCAUUUUUAGUCAUAUUGUCUUCCUAUUUUUGAACUCUAAUCAUUUCUUUCUAUGUUAAAGUUGUACUUUAAAAAUCAAAUACACGGUGGUGGCACAUACCUUUAAUCCCAGCACUCGGGAGGCAGGGGCAGGUGGAGCUCUGUGAGUUCGAGACCAGCCUGGUCUACAGAGCGAGUUCCAGGACAGACUCCAAAGCUACACAGAAACCCUGUCUUGAAAAAAAAAAUACACUAGAUUACAUGGCAAUUACUAUGUGUGCAGAUGUGUGUGUGUGUGUGUUAUGUAGCUAUAGGCAAUCUAGGAUCCACAAAGGAGGAGAAAAAAUGGUGUUUGUAUUUCUGAGUCUGGCUUGUUUCACUUAAUAUGAUGAUCUUCAUCCAGUUACAUCUGUUUUCCAACAAACAAUAUAAUUUAACUCUUCUUCAUUUCUUUUUUCCCCCGUUUUCCUUUCCUUUCUUUCUUUCUUAAUGACAAGGUCUCACUAUGUAGUCCCAGCUGGCCUGGAAGUCACUGUGUGGAUAAGGCUGGCCUCAGUACUCAGAGAUAUCAGCCUGCUUCUGCCUCCCAAGUCCUGGGAGUAAAGGCGUACACCAUCAUACUUGGCAAUUUUAUUUUUUUGCGGCUGAGCAAAACCCUACAAGCAUUCUAAGUGUUUAGUACUAGCCUACCAAUUUAACCUACUUCAGUUAAUUUUGUUACUGCUGUUUCUGUGUCUUGUUUAGUUUUCAGUUUUUCAAAAAAGCUUUCAAAGCUCAUCAGUUGCUACUUUGCGUUAGAUAGCUUUCCCCCUGUCUGGUUAUACUUUCUGAGAUGAGUCUUUCAAAUACUUGAGUUAUCCAGAAUAAGAAAUGUUGGGGGCAGUGGUCAGCUAGCUGUCUCCUAGUUAAGACAUUCUUCAGCGGAAGGAGGUGGUUGGGGGUCAGAGAAGGUGUAGGGAAAGGCACAAACUUCAGCAUAAAACCUACUGGAUUUUGCAGGAGUUCCCACUAAGGAAUGUGGAUCUAAGACCAGAAUGUUGACACAAAUCUCAUUGGUAUGAAGUGGAUUUUACAGGCUACCUCGUUCCCUGGUACAGCUCAACUUACAGAAUGCUGCUGCUGCUGCUGCUGUAAGUUCUGUUUGGGUCUUUGAAAGUAGAUUGGAUUAAUACUCUUUAUAAUUCUGUUUCUGAUGAGUUACAACUCAAAGCCUGUUGUUUUCAAUUCAGAAAGUAAGCAUUUGUCUUCCCUAGGUCUCCAUUUUAAGUGUCUUCCAGAAAGGAUCCUCUACUAGUGUUCUUCUAGUAUCUUUCUCUUUUGAAAGCAUAAAUAAGACCUCAAACGCAAAUCUAUGCAGUGCAUCUUAGAAGGGUGACCCCCCCAAAUUGUGUGUGUCCAGGUAUGGGUGCAAAUACACGUGUGUGCACAUGUGCAUGUGUGCCUGUGUGCCUGUGGAGGCCAGGUGUCAACGUCAGGCAUCUUCCUCCUUUUUUAAUUAUAUAUUUUAUUGUUUUGAGGUUAUGACAUAAUUGCAUCAUUUCUCCCUUUCCCCCCUCCAAACCCUCUCCUAUAUUCCUCCUUGCUCUUUCAAAUUCAUGACCUCUUUUUUCAUUGGUUGUUACAUACAUGUAUGUAUAUACACAUAUAUUCCUAAAUACGUAAAUGCAACCUGCUCAGUCUGCAUAAUAUUGUUCAUGUGUUUUCAGGACUGACCAUUGGCAUUAGAUAGCCAACUGGUGUGCUCAUCCCUGAGGGAAGACUGUUUUUCCUACUGUCAGCAUUCCGGAGUUGCCCGCACUUCUUUGUGUAGGGUUGAGGCCUUCUGUAGGCCCUCUCCUAUCCAUUUUAACAUGUUUUUGGUUGUUGUCCCUUGACCAGGUCAUGUUUGGGCAGUCCUGUUGGUGAGAAUUUACAGUGUAGCUUCUGACGUUACCAGCAGACAGAGUCUCACAGCACACUCCCUGACCUUCUGGCUCUGACAAUUUUUCCACCCCCUCUUACAAAACGAUCCCUUUGAGAGUUGCUUUGCAGAUGUGUCCAUGGGGACUGCGCUCCACAACUCUGCCUUUGAUUGGCUGCAGGGACAUCAUCUGCAUGCCUGGUGACCCCAGAAGCGAGAAGAGGGUGUCAGAUCCCCUGAAACUGGAGUUAUGGAUAGUUGUGACCCAUGGUGUGGGUGCUGGAAACCAAACCCAGGUCCUCUGCAAGAACAAGUGUUCUUAACCACUGAAAAAUUUCUCCAGUUCAGUUUCUCUCUUUUUCUGAUGAGUAGGAUUAUAAGGUGGCUCUAAAGAUGCCUUGAAUGGGAUAAUAAUCUGAUAAGGUAAAACCAGGAGCCACUAGGAUUGCAAGAAGGGUUAGGGACAUGUCCUUUUGUUGUUGUUGUUUUUCUUUCUUUUUAAUAUUUAUUUAUUUAAUGUAUAUGAGGGACCUAUCUUCAGGGAUACCAGAAGAGAGAAUCAGAUCUCAUUAUAGAUGGUUGUGAGCCACCUUGUGGGUACUUGGAAUUGAACUCAGGACUUCUGGAAGAGCAGCCAGUGCUUGUAACCGCUGAGCCAUCUCUCCAACCCCAUAUAUGUGUGUGUGUGUGUGUGUGUGUGUGUGUGUGUGUGUGUGUGUGUGUGUGUGUAUGUGUGUGUGUGUGUAUGGUGUUUCUUAUAUGACUCUUAGAAAAGUGUAGGUUAAUAGCUGAAAGGGAGAAAGGCCUUAAGCAUACGCCAUGAACUGUGUUAGAAUUCUUGAUUCUGAGCUACCAAGAGCCUUCAACCAGACUCUAGGGUGAGAAGCCCUCCCUUCUCACGCCUUAUCAAUUUUUCUAUUUUUCUACCCUGCCUCACAAAGUCAGUAUUCACUUUAGCUGGUAACAGGGUCCCCCUUAAAUUUCAAACUGUGUGUGUACUCAAGUCUAUCGUAAGAUAGUGUAGUGUUUAUGUGUAACCUACAUAAUCCCUCCCCCUUAUAGAUAACUUAUAAUACCCGUGAUGGACUUUCUAUCUAAGCACUUUAAGGCCUAGAGACUUUUUUUUUAAUUUGCACGUGUUCAGGACAAAUGAAAGUGCUUCCCAAAUAUUUUCUGUGUGUGGUUGGUUGACUCCACAGGUGUGACAUCCAUAGACGUGGAAGCCAGACUAAUGCAUGUGUUGAUUACAGGUCAUUCCAUUAUGUUCAUUCAAGAAAACACCCCCAGAAGAAUCCCUAGUACAAUCAAAAUGGGAGCUACUAAGUGAUCUUUAAGGAACCAGAGCUAUGCCAGUAAGGGGAAAUGAAAGAUGGUCAUGUCUUUCAAAGUUGGUGCCAAGGAGGGCCACAUUGUCACCCUUAAACACUGGUUGGUGUGAUUGUCGGAAAUGAAAUGGAUUAUUAGUCAGACCAAGGGCACACUGGCUGUACCUUGCAUGCUGUCCUUGAUGACAAAGGAUAUCUGUUCUCCACUAACAAUUGGUUUCCUCUGUUUAUUUUGCUUCUGCAGAUUAUCUUUUCUGUGUUGAAAUCUAUACGAGGGCAUAAUAAAAUACAAACCCUCAAAAAAAAAAAAGUAAACAAACUAUCGCAAGCUUCUCAGAAAUCUGAAUGUUAGACAUUGUUGCACACUGCCCGCUUGCUGUGGUUGAACAGAACCACACUCUGGUAUGUGUAUGGGCUUUGUUCUUCCGCCACAAGCUUUGCUUUCGGUGACUCAGCACCAGUUCCUCUCCAAGCACCAGCUACAUGAGGGCAGAGAAGUGGCUCUGCUUUGAACUUUGCAGUCAAGCCUGGCCCUGCAACUUGCACCCACGGCCGGGCGCUCUGCAAGCCUAUGUAAAGGGUCGUGAAGAUGCCUCAUCCUCCUAGUAAGAAGGGGGAAAUACUUGACAGUUUCAUAAUGCGGUUUAUACAGGAGAAAAUCCGACAUUACCCCUAAGUCUUCGGAAUUUUUCUGUUUCAACAGUGCCUAAAAGUAAUAUUGAAAGGGCUAUUUCUGAGAAAAUGAAAAACUUGGAACCCCCUGCCUUAGUGGAGGACAGAGUGUGGUUGGUGUGAGGGGAGCAGAGGUACUGGCAAGAAUUUAAAAGCACAUUAUACUCACCCACAUUAAUUGUGCUAUUGGAGUACCAAGGGAUAGUACUGUGUCCAUAGCAUGUUUCUGGUUGAAAUGAUCUCCAUUCUAAGGCCCUCAUGUCAUUAGUCAAGCACCCUUUAUGUAUCUGUUCUAAUAAAAUACAGGGGCUAGGGGACACUAUCUAUUGUGAAAUGUGGUUUCAAUAUGGUUUCAUUUGUUUUUCUUUAAUUACUCUAUUGGAAAUGUGUUCUCUCUCUCUCUCUCUCAUUUCAAAUGAGUCAAAUUUGAUCAUUUUCCUCUUGGAAUACCCUCUGGGCCCUGCAAGUUCUCAGCAAACACACAUUGUUGGUCAGUUUCCAUUUUCAGCCUCAUACCAUUCACAAUGAAAUGUAUUAAGAUAAGUUAAAUGAAAUAAAUUGCCCAUUUUCUAUUUACAAAGGGCAACAUUAGCUGCCAUGAAUUUCACUGGAACAAAGCAUCCUUGAUCGUUCCAAACAAAUGUUUUCACUUUUGACAUCCCAUCAAGAUAUACUCAAUUUCAAAUGGACUGUUCGCUAAGGGGAGUAUUUCCUCUGGCAUUCAAAAAUCACUCCAAACAUUGGCCAAACGAAAGAAGGGGGCCCAAAGAACAAAUGCAUCAGUGAGAGUAAAAUCUUCCUUGGCAAGUGAUUUCUGCCUUUCUAUCCAUUGUAAACUUAGGACAGACCCUGGUGUGGUGACCAUGCCUAUACUCCCAGUACUUGGAGGAGGAAGGCAAGAGGAUCAGGAGUUCAAGGACAGCUUGGAUGACAUGAAACCAUCUUUAAAACAAACAACAAACAAAAUUUUAAAAAGUCAGUGACCCUUCCAGUGAUGGUGAUUUGUUAGCUCUAGAAGAAGGGAGAUGUAUAUUCAACUGAAAGAUGUUUCUUUAAUAAGAAUCCAGACUUCAGAGAUCUGUUUUAUUCUGUAUUGUUGCUUGGUUUUGCUCUUUUGUGGGGCCUGCCACCCAGCUCCCAAAUAAAUCACACACAGAGGCUUAUUCUUAAUUAUAAAUGUUCGGCCUUAGCUUGGCUUGUUGCUAGCCAGCUUUCCUUAGCUUAAAUGAUUCAGUCUAUCUUUAGCCUCGGGGCUUUUCCUGUUCUCUUCUGUAAAUCUUACUCUUACUCUGUGGCUUCUUAUGUAGCUGGGUGGCUGGCCCCUGGAGUCCUCCUCCUUCUCUGGUUACUUCUCUUCCCUCCCAGAUUCCUCCUUCUAUAUAUUCUCUCUGCCCGCCAGCCCUGCCUAUCCUUUCUCCUGCCUUGCUAUUGGCCAUUCAACUCUUUAUUAGACCAUCAGAUGUUUUAGACAGGCAAAGUAACACAGCUUCACAGAGUUAAACAAAUGUAACAUAAACAGAAGUAGCACACCUUAAAAUAAUAUUCUACAACAAUUUUAUAACUAGAAUCAGUUUUUGAGAAAGGGCAGCAGUUGCCACAAUUAUUAUCAUCUAUAGCAGCUCUUUCAUCUCAGUUUAUCAUGGUAACUCCAUGGCUUUUUUGUUUCUAGUUUUUCUUAAUCGAAACCUUGAUUUGGAAAGGGCUAUGGAGCCCUGUUAUUUGAAUCAUCAGUACUUUCCUACAGCAUUGGAGUUAGAAUGCCAUGUGUGGCCUUUUAAUUGUCUCAUUUGGCGAAAGCACCCACUGGCAUUAAGCUGACUGCUUGGUUUGUGUGGGUUUGAUUUUUGAGGACCAAUCACAUAGAGAGAUGCAGGGAAUCAUGUUUUGUUCUUCUACAUACUUACACAUUAAGUUCCUUAAGCUUCAUAGUAGGUGGACUUUUCUGUCCUGCCAGCCACUCCCCAAAUAACCACACAGGGACUUAAUAUUAAUUAUAAAUGUUCAGCCAAUAGCUUAAGCUUGUUCUUAGCUAGCUCUUAUAACUUAAUAUUAACCCAUUUCUAUUCAUCUAUGUGCUGCUCCAAGGCUCAUUUACCUCAUCUACAUACUUCCCAUCCUGCUUGCUCUGCAUCUCAUGGCGCCUCCUCUGACUCCACCUUUCUUCCUCCUAGCAUUCCUCUGCCCCCAAAAUCCUGCCCAGCUAUUGGCAAAUCAGCUCUUUAUUAACCAAUGAGAGUAAUACAUAUUCAUAGUGUACAAAAAGAUUGUUCCAUAGCACUCCUCUGUCUCCUGGGGGCUGGGAAAGUAGUUCAGUGGUAGCAUGGCGCUUGCUUAGCAUGCACAGAGCCAUGGGUUCUAUCCUCAGCAUAACAUAAAGCCAGGUGUGUCAGAUCAUAUGCCUAUAAUCCCAACACAGUGUGAUAGAGGCACUUAGGAUAAAAAAAAAAAAAGAGAGAGGCAUAAAGAGCAGGGCUGCAAAUUACAAAAGCCUUUCUGUAAUUUGUUACCUGAUGUUUUUUUGUUUUUAAGUAUUUCUAUCUUCUUUGGGAGCUCCAUUUCAAUAGAUUCAUUCUAAAACAACCCCCAACUAUGCUGAAAGGAUAAGAAAUAAUCCACUUUGAGGAAAAAACCCUAAAGAAAAGUCCAGAUCAGAGCACCUCGAAAAUGUGCCAGUCCCAGCAGGAUAGAACAAAAGCACCCUCCGCCUUCUCAGUAAUGGGUAGUAAUGGAACCACUUACUCUGUUUUUAGUGCUGGGGUGGAAGAAGCAGAGUGAGCUAUGCGAACUUAGGUUUGCAGAGACAUUGAAAGUUACUCUAAUAUCCCCGACAACUCAUUUCCUUCUCUCAACACUUGAGUGAAGUCUGCCUCAGCAAUUGGAGAUCUCGGUGUUAGUUUUCACAGGAUAAUAACCUUUUUUCCGUUCCUCCACAGAUAACUUUAAUGCAUUUAGAUUUUUGGCUCUAAGUUUAAGAAGCAUCAGUAGUCUACCUUGAGGAAUAUAUUGCUGAGCAAAUGUGAAAGCUGAGCUCGGAGAUGUCUGUCUAUUUUACAGUUGGAAAGCCAAUGGCGUCCUCACUAUAGGCCUGUGGAGGAACAAGAAUAAAUAUGUGGGUAAAUGCAUACACAUCAAGUCUGGGGUGGGGGCAGAAGCCUUCUCUCCUGAAUGUAGGACAAUACUGCCAGAAUCUGAAAGAUCUGGCAAAAUAGAAAGAUCACUUUUUGCUGGAAUCAUUUAUCUGCCUCUAAAACGAAAGGAUAGCUUUUUUUUUUUAAAGGAAGUUUCCUUUUCCCCUAAAUGUAAUUAUAAUAACCAUAUCGUUCUUUAAAAUUCACCAAGAGCCCUUUAUUAUCAUCGGCCAGUCCAGUUUCAAAAAUCUCCAUCUCUAGGCCUCACACACAAAGAAAUCUUGAGUUCAGGACCAGCCUGGUCUACAUAGUGAGUGAGGCCAGCAUGACCUACAUUGUAAAACCCUGUCCAGAAAAUGAAAAAGAAGAAUAAAAUAGCCCUCCAUUUCCUUUUCUUUCCUUCCUUUCUUUUUUUUAAAAAAUUUAUUUUAUUAGCCAGGCGGUGGUGGCGCAUGCCUUUAAUCCCAGCACUUGGGAGGCAGAGGCAGGCGGAUCUUUGUGAGUUCGAGGCCAGCCUGGUCUAGAGAGCGAGAUCCAGGAAAGGCGCAAAGCUGCACAGAGAAACCCUGUCUCGAAAAACCUAAAAAAAAAAAAAAAUUUAUUUUAUUAAACAGCUCUUACCUCUUACUUUAUAGCUCUGGUUGAUCUGGAAUUCACUAUGUAGACCAGGCUGGCCUUGAACUCACAGAGGUAUGUCUGCCUCUGCCUCCUGAGUACCUGGAUUAAAGGCAAAAGCCACCAUGCCCAGUAUUUCUCUCUCUCUCUCUCUCUCUCUCUCUCUCUCUCUCUCUCUCUCUCUCUCUCUCUCUCUCGUGUGUGUGUGGGGGAGUUGAAAAAGAACAUAAACCUGGGGAAGAAGUCAUCUAUUUUAGAUUUUGAAAGGAAAAAAAAAAGAGUUGAAAAGUCUGUUUAAAAGAAGUCACAGAUAACACAGAAACUAAGGUUAAGCUAGGAAGUGGGUCCAUCCUUGGGUUGCUCCCCGAUUGGCCGUGCUGGCUAAGUCUACCUCCUUUACUGUUGACUUCUGUCUAUGGCCCCCUCCUUCACUUUCUGAAAACACCAUGUCAAUCCCGAUCCUCCACAGUGAGCUCCCUUCUGGUCUCCCUGGUUUUCCCCCAAUCCCUCUCUCCAGGGUCUGGCUCUUCUCUUGCACACUUUUCUCUGUUACAUGAAGCCAGGACAAGCUUUCCAAAGCUCAGCUCUGAGCUUAUUCCCACACUGCUUUUGGAAUGAAGUCCAAACUUCUUAACAGGUUUGGUGUGGGUCCUGUCUGUGUUCCAUCUCAGUUCUCAUUCCAGCCAGCCACUCCCCGCACUCCUGCCAACGCGUCUACCUGGACUCUUUUCUCUGCUUCUUCACCUGACAUCCUGCCUCACUCUCAGGUCUUACCAGCCACUCACUCCAGGAAUCUUCUUCUACCUUUGCAUUGUAAGUAGGUAGUCCCACUGUCCGUCUGCCUUCACCUCCUCCACCCAACUGUGACCCCAAUGCCAGGACCACUUUGUUCAACAUUUGCAUCCCUAAGAAUUGGCCACUGUAGUUUUUGGAGAUUCCUGAGAGCCUUAAGUUCUUUUACAGUGUUGUGAAUGUCUCUGCUUUCACUUUCGAAAGCAGUCUAUACUGCACAGCAGUUGACAGAGGUUCCUUUGGGAUGCUCCAAGGUCUGCUCAGAACUGCUUCCUUGGGCAGUAUUAGACCAGGAGAGAGAGAGAGAGAGAGAGAGAGAGAGAGAGAGAGAGAGAGAGAGAGAGAGAGAGAGAGAGAGAUUGACCUAAGAGAUAUUUUGUUUUCUACUGCCAAUUUAUGCAGUUGGAUUUUUUCCUUCCAUCCUUCCUUCCUCCCUCCCUCCUUCCCUCCCUCCCUCCCUCCCUCCUUCCUUCCUUCCUUCCUUCCUUCCUUCCUUCCUUCCUUCCUUCCUUCCUUCCUUCCUUGCUUCCUUCCUUCCUUCCCUCCCAGACAGAGAGCUUUGUCAUGCUUUUCCUGGAAAGAUUCACUGACUCAAUCUUUUAGUUAACAUCGGUGGAAUGCCUACUUAACGCUGUGGCAUGCAAUCCGCCCUAGGAUAUGGGAGUGUGCCAGUCUGCCAUGAAAACAGUAAGCAUGACACGGGAGUUUUCUGUUUGCCAGCUAGCUUGCUUCUCUGACAGGCAUUUCUGGAUGUGAAGAAAGAUAUGUUUUGGCAUCCCAGCUCCAACUAGAGUGGGCAUGUACACACACACACACACACACACACACACACACACACACACAGUUUGCUCACCCUCAGUACCUAGGACUACAUGUCUUCAAAGUUCGGAAGCUUCAUUUAUACUACAAUAUAAUAGCUGGCUCUCAGAAACUUUCAAGGGGGAAAGGCUAGCUCUCCCUCUCCCAGAGCUGAGUACCAUCGCUCAAAAACAGAACAACGUGUGAUUAGUGUGCUCUAUUCAUCCUCUGCAUCAAUAACAGGUAUACAGUUACUGAGACAAAGGGCUAGAUUCACGUCUUCUGGAGGCCUCCAGAGAAUUCCCAUAGUUACCCACAGAGCAAGAACUGGGCCAGUGGGAAGUACCCCAACCUGGCUACAUGUUACCAACACUGCUGUAUCACAAGUGGCUCCUUCCAGAGUCACCAUAAGACGGAAACGCACCGUGCAAGAAGCUCAGGUAAUGUGUACACAUACGGUUUCCAGAUCAAGAAUAAAGUUAAUACCUCCAAAAGUUGAACUGGAGAAAUUAAUAGGGCCACCGAAAGUCCUGUGAAAUGCUCUAGGUUAAAGUGCAGAAAACUACGGUUCCUCUGCCAGAGAACAUAGGCACAGCUUUGAAAAGCCGUGUGAGAACUCAGAUUGAAGUUUGUUGCUAGAGUUUUCCUGCCUGGCCCACAGUCAGGACAAAUCUCUCUCACCCGCCAGUCCCACAGCCUCUCAGACCCGACCAAGUAAACACAGAGACUUAUAUUGGUUACAAACUGUAUGGCCAUGGCAGGCUUCUUGCUAACUGUUCUUAUAGCUUAAAUUAAUCCAUUUCCAUUAAUCUAUACCUUGCCAUGUGACUCGUGGCUUACCGGCAUCUUCACAUGCUGUUUCUCAUCAUGGCGGCUGGCAGUGUCUCUCCCUCUCAGCCUUCCACUUCCCAGCUUUAUUCUCCUCCUUGUCCCGCCUAUACUUCCUGCCUGGCCACGGGCCAAUCAGUGAUUUAUUUAUUGACCAAUCAGCAACAUAUUUGACAUACAGACCAUCCCACAGCAGAAGUUUCAUUUGCUUCUUGAAGCGUUUUCUGAGAUGGACUCCUUACGUUUCCCCAUACCUCCCAGAGACCUGGAUCCUGACUGAACACGCAUGCUCAGGAGAGGUUUCCCGUAACAGUCCUGCACGUCUGCAGUAUGGAAGCAGCUUCCCCAAGCAGCACGCUUCUCAGCAGCUGCUUUCCAUUCCUUCAUGUUCCUCCCCAAGGAGAUGGCUCAUACCAGAGGCGUGAACAGGUGCUAGACAUCAUGAGAGAUGCUAGCCCUCAAGAGUUGGGUUAUUUCAUGUCUCCUAUUUAGAAUUUCAGGAGCCUUUAGGCUUUCCAUGUGUUCACAUGUUCGCAUGGUCACAAAAACUCUCAAUUGCUGGCUCCAUGUUUCUCCCCUCACCAGCUCUCCCAACCUACUCAUUGAUUCUGACAAGAUCACUGCUAAAUCCUUGGCUCCUGGUCAGAUCUGGUAAACAUGCAUGAACAGAUCUGACGCGGCAGUUAAAUCACUCCUUCUCUUGAGAUAAGCUUCUCCAGCCAACUGCAGGGGCGUUGCCAGAACACCAACUUACACACUAUUGGUUCCAGGUCCCCCUCUCUGGGUCGCCUCUUUUCGUCUGCCACAUACAGGUCCUUAUUUCUCAACGUCACAUGCUGUGAGACAGAUCUGGCGAGACACUGUACUCCCCUGGGUGGUCAGGCUUUGAGAACACAUGCUGUGCUGCAUUUCUGUCCAUCUCUCCUACAGCUAGCAUACAGUAUGUGGUCAAUACAUGUAUCUCAAAUAAGCCAAGGAUGGUUAGAUAAGAAGAUGGAGAAUGUUCAUGCUUUCUUCUUCAUCCACUUAACCUCAGAAGACCUGGAAUCCACUUGGGGGUGGGCUGUGAGGUCCCUCCGCUGCUGAGAAGUACACCCCAGUUUUUUCAGGUGCAUUGAAAAUGUAGCAUGCGUUGUCCACGCCAGUGAGGAUGUUCUUUCAAACUUCGAUUCAAAACAGAACUUAAGGUUCAUCUGCCUGUCUUAUGUUCCGAAUCCUCACUCAUUACUAUCCCACUCAUCUUUCCCCCACCUCUCAAUUUAAAAUAGUUUGCCUAUUUGUCCUCUUUUGAAAGAUAUUCCACAGCAUCCAGGAGGUGUUUUGCAAAGUACUGUGGCUUCCCAAGGACAGUUGAUAUGCCUCUUGGAGGCAUCGAUUACAGCCUUUCCUUUAUCUCCCUGUCAAACCCUGUAUAGCUCUGAGCUAUCACUGAACGUGCUGUAAACAGUCCGGACAGCAAACGCGUUCGUGCUUCAUUCCUUUUUCGGGCUGCGUUGCAUUUGUGCUCCGAGUUUUGCCCAGCACCAAACUGCCCAGCUUAGGUGAUUCAUUCAUUCAGUAUUGAGCUCCUCUGGCAAGACGUUGAUGAGGGAAAGCUCAGUGCUGCUAACCUUGACCUCCAGCCCCUUCAUGUCUCUCCUCUGCAGCAAGAUGUUUACACCUGAAAAGUUAAACUGGGGCCCAUUGAAAGGUACAGAGAAUAGUCAGGCUACCGUGGGCUUAUUUUUGGUUAUUCCUGCUUGGUUUUUAAGAAAAUAAAACUUAAGGGCUACCAGACUAGUUUCUAUACUAGACUCAGCCCUGACUGACUGUGAAAGUCCUUUUUACAUUUGGGGCUCAUUUGUGCAGUGGGAAUUGUAGUAGCAGUGAGAAUAAUAAAGACUCUUUGCGCCGGGCGGUGGUGACGCACGCCUUUAAUCCCAGCACUCGGGAGGCAGAGCCAGGCGGAUCUCUGUGAGUUCGAGGCCAGCCUGGGCUACCAAGUGAGUUCCAGGAGAGGCGCAAAGCUACACAGAGAAACCCUGUCUCGAAAAACCAAAAAAAUAAAAAAAUAAUAGUAAAAAAAAAAGUAAAGACUCUUUGCACCGGGUGGUGGGCUGAGUGGAGACCUCAGCUGUAAGCCACCUAACCUGAGUCUGAACUAGUAGCAGUGAUAAUCACAACUCUUAGAUUCUGUUUAGCAUCAUGAACAUGAACUUUAGAAACUUUCCAUCUUCCUUGGUGGAGCGUGUCAGACCUAAGGUCUUACAUGUGGAGACAGCCCAGAGUGCAAUAUUUCUUUAGCCAUGGCCCAGGUCCCCCUGGCAUCCCCACUGGCCAUUGCUGGCCAGUUUCAGAGAUGACAGUGUGUGUGUUUCUCCGUUGCUUUCAGCUGACAUGCCUUCUGAGUCUUGUUCACUACAGCUGUGAAGGUUGCUCACUGAAAAGCUACUUCUUGUGACCCUUUCCCCCCCCAAGUAAGCAAGCGACACCUUUGUAUUUCUACAGUAGAUUUUUUUUUUAAGAAGAAGAAAAGAGAGAGAGAAGGAAAGGGAAAGAAAAAGGAGUUUGCCAAGAAAGCACGUGACUUGGUGAGAUCGGGAAGAUUUCAGGUUUUGUUAGUGUACUAGGUUUCACGUUAGUACUCUGAAACGCAGCCUUGAGCUGACUUGUGUUAGCAAAGGCCGUGAAACGUUCAUUCAGUCCUGGUUACACCCAUAACAAAUGGUGUCAUUUUGUACAUCAGUGAGCCUUUUGGGGUCAUUGGUACUGCUUGCCAAACCAGGAGGGCCGGGGCUAAUUUUGACUUUCUGAUGACAGACUUGGUUUCCAAGGGUGUUUGUGGAUUCCCUGUGGAUUUAUGUUCUCUGCCACUCUGUUUCCUUUGCAUAAAAAUGAGGGCAGGAUUGGGAAUGUGACUCUAUGGGGGUGCUUGCUUCAACUUGUUCUCGGCUCUGAGUUCAACCCAGUAUCAGAUAGACAGAUAGAUAGAUGGAAGGAUGGAUGGAUGGAUGGAUGGGUGAUUGGAUGGAUGGAUAGAUAGAUAGAUAGAUAGAUAGAUAGAUAGAUAGAUAGAUAAAUGGGUUUCAGGCAAGUUAAAAGUCAUACUGUAUGGUUUACUUAAACUGGAACCAGUCUGGACAUUAGCAGCUCUUAGUAAUUAUGUGAUGUGCAGCUUGCAGCUGAAGCUAUGAAUGUUGAACCAUGUGUUAUUGUCGCUCAGAUCACUCAGCUGUCCACCUUAAUCUGGUUAAAUGAUUUUCUGAUUGAUGGAUGGCAUCAUGACUUAACCCAGCGCAACUGCCAUCAGUUAUUGAGUAUAAAUGGCAUACCAGCUACUGAACGUAAAUACUUAGCAUAUACACUGUGUGAUACUUUAUAAAAUGUAUUUCCUAAAGUUACAAGCUCAGCCUCAAAGUUUUUUCACAAAAUAUCUUGCAAUUGCUCCGUGUACUAAGGAUUCUAUCAUUUAAAAAAAUUGCUCUUUUACUAUAAUGACUUUUUGGUUGUGGGAUUUCUGAUACAAUUUAUCUCAGUUAUUCAGAAAAAAUGUAGAAUCUCCCUUAAUCCCUUUAUCAGUAAGACAGAAUUUGAUAAAAAACAGUGAGGUGUCCAGAUGUGGUGGCAUAUACAUGUAAUCCCAGCACUCAAGAGGUAGACACAGAAAGAUUGAGGCACAUUGAAGGCCAGCCGAGGCUACACACUGAGACCCUGUCUCCAACAAAGAAACAAACAGUAACAAAAGGUAAUCAGCUAGAUUGUAACCCUACUGAACAUUUAUAUCUCGAGUAUUUCAGGUUCCACAUUAACCUGGGAACAUCCCUCAUAAAAAAUAUUCUGGUGUACUUUCCCCAGAAAUACCUAUUCUGUUUCAUAUCUUAUCAACAGCUCAAAGCCAUGGAAAGCACUCACUGGUGUUUUCAGAUGGUGUAAAGGCCCCCACCCCACCACCACCAUCGCUGCAAAUGCCUGCACUCACAAUGAGAAUCACUUCAAUAGGCUACAGUGCUGGAUGGAAACCAGCAAGAUGAACUGGAGCGGGCAAGCGAUGUACACUUCUACUUUUAGAUUCAAAAGGCAGUUGCGCAAUUACAGGAUGGGAGCAACUGAGCUUGGCAGCAGUUCCUGUGACUAAAAGCUUAAUAAGAACCAACGGUAGGAAGGGACGGCUAAACAGAACGAAUGUAGCUGUGUGCUUCCAUGGUAGACAUAUUAAUGGCUCGCUUUACUCUGCAGUGGUCACACUGAGUUGGGAGUAACGUGCUGGGUUCCAAGCACAUUCAGGAGGGACUUUAACAAAGCAGACUAGCUAUUAAGAGGGUGUUGAAUCCAGUCCAAGAUACAUUUAUGGGGCUCCUGUUUCGAGCAGGCAGUGUGCAAACUAGGGCCGGCCAUAAAGCGAGGAAGAGACAUUGUUGGUCUCUAGCCUCAAGGACUUGGACACAUAAACGGAGAGCCAGACAGGUAGGUACAUGACUGUACAACAAAGCAGACUCGGAAAGCCAGAAGCACAAAGAAUGUGCUGUGGGAAUCUGGGGGUGGGGCCGACUGUAGGAUUUGUACAGGAAAUGAGGAAGGCUUGAAUGCGAAGAUGUAGAGACAGGAAAACUCGGGUACCGCUGAGGAAUACUGAGCAGUCUAGGUUGGCUGGAAGGGCCGGGUAAGGCUGAGAGGAGGGAACCGACCUGAGAAAAGCUUGGGGACAGAGCAUGAGGACAGUGGUUGGGGGUGGAAAAGACGCUCCAGUUAACGAGCCUUGGGAAAUAAUGACACAGGACAACUCCUGGGGAAGGGUAUUUAGUCAAGAGGAAAGAUGGCCAAAUCGCCCUGGUGGCUGUGGGUCAGAUUUACUCUGGGUACUUCCAGAAGUAAAAAUGUGUCUCGGAGGGUUUCCAAUGUUCCUGAGUAUGGGUUUGAUGCUGUUUGGUUUUUGUUUUUUAAUCAAAACUGCCCAAGUGAAGCAGGGAAUACUUCAGCGCUUGUGAAUAACACCCCGGAUAGACUCAGGUCUCUGGCCCGAACGCUGAGGAGAAUCUUCAUCAUGAUGUAGUGCAUGAACAAGUGAAAAAAAUCGUUUCAGCAAUGAACGCCCCUUUAGAAAGAGCAAGAAAUUGUUAAUACAACUUUGCAACUCCUCCGACUCGUUCAUUGUUAUAGCGGGCCAACCAUAGCCCUGAAUCGUUCAUUUAAAGCCCAUGUUUGCGUCUUGUUUUUCCCUCUUCCUUGCUGUGAGCACCGUAUUCCUUCUUAGCAAUAUCCCCCAUGCAUCCCCACUGGCUGCAUCACCCUCCACCCUGUUCCCGCACUCUGAGUUAAAUUAAACUUUUUCUACCAGCCAGCCCCACACCUCGUCACUCUCAAGUCAACCAAAUGUCACCUCUGUCCCCUUUCUUUUCUUCACACUCCUAGAUCCCUGGACCAUUGAUAAUGAAUGUAGUUUAUUGAGGCACAUUUUAGGCCAGCCUAUGCUACACAGUGAGUUCAGGGCAGCUGGGGCUACAUGGCCAUCCUAGAUCACUCCUAGGAUCCCUGGUCCAUUGGUAAUAAGUGUAGUUGGAUGUAGGAAACUGUCCAAUUUUCUUUGGAGAAUAUUUUUUAAGAAUCUUGAUCACCUCCUUGAAAAAAAAACCUUUAAAAUAGGAAAGUGAUGGGCGACAGGAAGAAAUGAGCGCUACAGAACUCAAGCAGCAGUCACAGAACCAGCUCCUUUCUCUUAUAUUUUUGGUUGUGAGCCCAGCCUUUAACGGCUGAGCCAUCUCUCCAGCCCGCAGCCCCUUUCUCUAGAAAGCAGCCAGUUGGGAAAGUGUUGGCCACUGCUGGUGGAACGUAUCAGAAAACCUCCAGUCCAUUGUUGCCCCUGUGCCUGGGGCAGAAACACAGCUUUUCCUGUUACAAGGUGGGAAACGGUCGUGCUCCCGCCAAGGACAGAGAUGGGAAAGGCUGACUCGCUCCAGCCCUGAGGACUGUUUCACUCCAUGACUGAUAUUGCUUUAUUGUUUGGCUCAGGUAGCUGGGCAAAUAUAAUCUCUGACUCCCUGGGUGUGUCCAUUCCUUCAUAGAUUAGAUAAGAACAAUCGAUGAGCUUUUAAAUGCUGAGAAAGCUAAUCAGAACCGAAAGGGAGUCACAGCCAAGAAAUAACACCGAGAGAAAGGCACCUACUGAACUUGCCUCCUCUACCUUCCCUUUUCCUCUGCUUUUCAGUUUCCCAAUCUCUGUUUUUUGUCUUUUCUCUCUUCCUGUCAGCCCGUCAACUCCCUUCUCCCCACACACCCUUCUUUCCUCCCCUCCCAGCCCAAACGCCAUCCCCAAAGACUGAAUUUGGCACACUCUACCUGAUCAGAAAGUGCGACUGAAUUUGGCUUUUAAAUAUAUUCUUUUAAAGAGUAAAUAAGAUUCACAUUUAAUUUAGGAAAUAGAUGAUCAAAGUUUGCUCUGACUGA
Peromyscus californicus insignis is the source of this 28189-nucleotide long non-coding RNA. RefSeq lists it as uncharacterized. Lineage: Eukaryota; Metazoa; Chordata; Mammalia; Rodentia; Cricetidae. The transcript has 2 exons. The record is from RefSeq and is a predicted model, not a curated record.